UACGUAGGUGGCGAGCGUUGUCCGGAUUUAUUGGGUUUAAAGGGUACGUAGGUGGUCUAUUAAGUCAGUGCUGAAAUAUCCCGGCUUAACCGGGAGGGUGGCAUUGAUACUGAUGGACUUGAGUAGAGUCGAGGUAGGCGGAAUUGACGGUGUAGCGGUGAAAUGCGUAGAUAUCGAGAGGAACACCUGCGGCGAAGGCGGGUUGCUGGGCCGACACUGACGCUGACAGCGCGAAAGCUAGGGGAGCGAACGGG
Molecule: ribosomal RNA, 254 nt
Filed under: uncultured bacterium
Lineage: Bacteria
Description: partial 16S ribosomal RNA
Rfam family: Bacterial small subunit ribosomal RNA
Source: RNAcentral